This 253-nucleotide ribosomal RNA is filed under the name uncultured bacterium. Its description in RNAcentral is "partial 16S ribosomal RNA". It matches the Rfam family "Bacterial small subunit ribosomal RNA", at positions 524 to 776 of the family's 1533-position model. The record is from RNAcentral.
UACAGAGGUGGUAAGCGUUGUUCGGAAUCACUGGGCGUAAAGGGCGCGUAGGCGGCCAUUCAAGUCGGGGGUGAAAGCCCAGGGCUCAACCCUGGAAUUGCCUUCGAUACUGUUUGGCUAGAGACCGGAAGAGGUAAGUGGAACUGCGAGUGUAGAGGUGAAAUUCGUAGAUAUUCGCAAGAACACCAGUGGCGAAGGCGGCUUACUGGUCCGGUUCUGACGCUGAGGCGCGAAAGCGUGGGGAGCAAACAGG